UACAGAGGGUGCGAGCGUUAAUCGGAAUUACUGGGCGUAAAGCGCGCGUAGGCGGCUUUUCAAGUCGAUUGUGAAAUCCCCGGGCUUAACUGGGGAGGGUCACUCGAUACUGAUCGACUUGAAGGCGGGAGAGGGAAGCGGAAUUCCCGGUGUAGUGGUGAAAUGCGUAGAUAUCGGGAGGAACACCAGUGGCGAAGGCGGCUUUCUGGCCCGUUCUUGACGCUGAGGCGCGAAAGCUAGGGUAGCAAACGGG
RNAcentral lists this ribosomal RNA (253 nucleotides) under uncultured bacterium. Its description in RNAcentral is "partial 16S ribosomal RNA". It matches the Rfam family "Bacterial small subunit ribosomal RNA", at positions 524 to 776 of the family's 1533-position model. The record is from RNAcentral.